ACACAUGCAAGUCGAGGGGCAGCGGGAUUGAAGCUUGCUUCAAUUGCCGGCGACCGGCGCACGGGUGAGUAACGCGUAUCCAACCUUCCGUACACUCAGGGAUAGCCUUUCGAAAGAAAGAUUAAUACCUGAUGGUAUGAUGAGAUUGCAUGAUAGCAUCAUUAAAGAUUCAUCGGUGUACGAUGGGGAUGCGUUCCAUUAGGUAGUAGGCGGGGUAACGGCCCACCUAGCCUACGAUGGAUAGGGGUUCUGAGAGGAAGGUCCCCCACAUUGGAACUGAGACACGGUCCAAACUCCUACGGGAGGCAGCAGUGAGGAAUAUUGGUCAAUGGACGAGAGUCUGAACCAGCCAAGUAGCGUGAAGGAUGAAGGUCCUACGGAUUGUAAACUUCUUUUAUAAGGGAAUAAAACCUCCCACGUGUGGGAGCUUGUAUGUACCUUAUGAAUAAGCAUCGGCUAACUCCGUGCCAGCAGCCGCGGUAAUACGGAGGAUGCGAGCGUUAUCCGGGUUUAUUGGGUUUAAAGGGAGCGCAGACGGGUCGUUAAGUCAGCUGUGAAAGUUUGGGGCUCAACCUUAAAAUUGCAGUUGAUACUGGCGUCCUUGAGUGCGGUUGAGGUGUGCGGAAUUCGUGGUGUAGCGGUGAAAUGCUUAGAUAUCACGAAGAACUCCGAUUGCGAAGGCAGCACACUAAGCCGUAACUGACGUUCAUGCUCGAAAGUGUGGGUAUCAAACAGGAUUAGAUACCCUGGUAGUCCACACGGUAAACGAUGGAUACUCGCUGUUGGCGAUAUACUGUCAGCGGCUUAGCGAAAGCGUUAAGUAUCCCACCUGGGGAGUACGCCGGCAACGGUGAAACUCAAAGGAAU
This 867-nucleotide ribosomal RNA is filed under the name uncultured bacterium. Its description in RNAcentral is "bacterial SSU rRNA". It matches the Rfam family "Bacterial small subunit ribosomal RNA", at positions 51 to 910 of the family's 1533-position model. The record is from RNAcentral.